UCCUUUAUGGCUUUUAAAGGAUCU
This 24-nucleotide transfer RNA is filed under the name Sphenomorphus melanopogon. RNAcentral's name for it is "partial tRNA-Leu". The record is from RNAcentral. Lineage: Eukaryota; Metazoa; Chordata; Lepidosauria; Squamata; Scincidae.